CCUACGGGGUGCUGCAGUGGGGAAUAUUGCGCAAUGGGCGAAAGCCUGACGCAGCGACGCCGCGUGAGGGAUGAAGUUCUUCGGAUCGUAAACCUCUGUCAGCAGGGAAGAACGGUCACUGUGCUAAUCAGCAGUGAAUUGACGGUACCUGCAAAGGAAGCACCGGCUAACUCCGUGCCAGCAGCCGCGGUAAUACGGAGGGUGCGAGCGUUAAUCGGAAUUACUGGGCGUAAAGCGCUCGUAGGCGGUAUGUCAAGUCACGGGUGAAAUCCCCGGGCUCAACGUGGGAACUGCCGUUGAAACUGGCAGACUGGAGUGUGUGAGAGGAUAGUGGAAUUCCAGGUGUAGGAGUGAAAUCCGUAGAUAUCAGGAGGAACAUCAGUGGCGAAGGCGACUAUCUGGCACAUAACUGACGCUGAGGAGCGAAAGCGUGGGUAGCAAACAGGAUUAGAUACCCUAGUAGUC
Molecule: ribosomal RNA, 465 nt
Filed under: uncultured bacterium
Lineage: Bacteria
Description: partial 16S ribosomal RNA
Rfam family: Bacterial small subunit ribosomal RNA
Source: RNAcentral